UCCGAUAUGGUGUAGUGGCUAACAUUAUCGCCUCUCAUCAAGUGUGUUUCGCGAUAGCCCGGGGUUCGAUUCCCCGUGUCGGAA
Lentinula lateritia is the source of this 84-nucleotide non-coding RNA. NCBI's taxonomy places the organism in Eukaryota, Fungi, Basidiomycota, Agaricomycetes, Agaricales, Omphalotaceae. The record is from the annotation of a GenBank genome assembly.